RNAcentral lists this ribosomal RNA (270 nucleotides) under uncultured bacterium. RNAcentral's name for it is "partial small subunit ribosomal RNA". It matches the Rfam family "Bacterial small subunit ribosomal RNA", at positions 26 to 285 of the family's 1533-position model. The record is from RNAcentral.
AGGACGAACGCUGGCGGCGUGCUUAACACAUGCAAGUCGAACGGUAAGGCCCUUUCGGGGGUACACGAGUGGCGAACGGGUGAGUAACACGUGGGUGACCUGCCCCUUACUCUGGGAUAAGCCUGGGAAACUGGGUCUAAUACCGGAUAGGACUUCAUGCUGCAUGGUGUGGGGUUGAAAGCCAGUUACUUUUGUUCUGGCGGUGGGGGAUGGGCCUGCGGCCUAUCAGCUUGUUGGUGGGGUGAUGGCCUACCAAGGCUUCGACGGGUA